Molecule: long non-coding RNA, 1460 nt
Organism: Dermochelys coriacea (leatherback sea turtle)
Lineage: Eukaryota; Metazoa; Chordata; Testudines; Dermochelyidae
Exons: 3
Source: RefSeq, a predicted model, not a curated record
UGUUCAGUGCACUCCUACAGGAUUGGGCCCCACAGGCAAGAGAGGCUUUCCACUGCCUGCUUUCUGGUUUGAGGAUCCUUCUGGGGUUUAGGUGUGAGGCAGGUGUCUGGACACUGAGAAAGAGGCAGCAGUGCCCAGGCCCAGAAGCAGAAGUUUAGGAAUCUUGGGAAAUUUUACCAUCGAAAUGUUGGUGCUGAGUGAGUUGAGGCCCCUGCAGAGUUAGGGGCAGCCAGGCAGAGGUUUUCUGGAUUUCAGUGGCAUCUAAUUCUGAGAGUCAGGGGUUGAAACUGGGCUUUAGCCACCUAAGUCCCAUUUGGGAUCUGGGUCUUCACCACUCCACUUCACCACAGUUUCCCAUCUGUGAAAUGGGGAGAACAUCACUUACCUUCACUGUAAAGUGCUUGAGCUCUACAGAUGAGAAGUGCUAUGUACGCGCUAGGGGAGCAUGAGUGUAAUGAAAUGGCCCAUGAGUCUCCACAUGUCUGUGACUUGCCAUCACAGGGAAAGACAGAAGCUUACAGGUAGGAAAUUGUUUCUCAUUUUGACUCUCUGGGCUGGUUUAUCCAGGACCAAGAGCAAUUUCUGCUGGCCCAGCUGGGGGAACUGGACAGGGAGAUUGGGAAGAAAUGAAGUGAAAAUGCCACCAACUUUUCAAAGCCCAUAUCUCCUCUUUACAAGCUGAUCAGUGAGCUGGGCAGGGCCAGCAGCCAGCAAGUGAAUUUCUGCAGGUGAGACUGUUCCAGCCACCCAGACCCCUGCACAGAGAUAGGACAGCUCCUGAAUCCUGGGCGCUGGAGUCUGGCACUCAGAGAUCACAGCGUAACUCGGUGUGUGCAUGGCAGAGACGGGAAUUAUUACUGUUCUUUGUAGAGUUACAGACAUGCAGAUGUUAGAGGUGAAAAGCCUCAUUUGCUCAGAGAAUCCAUGGCUUUGGGGCCAGGGCAGGGCCUCUGUUUCUGGUGUUUCUAAAAUCCCUUCUGAUCCCUGUUGACACCUAGCAGGUUUCACUGGUUUGCUUGUUUUCCCUAAUUCUUUCCCUGCAGCCUUUACUGUCCCCGAAUAGUCUUGUUUCUUUGGCUGCUUCCCCCUUUCCAUUCCCAGGACAGGAUGUCAGAGGCACCUCAACCAGACAUGUGGCUCCUUCUCACUCCCCCUCACACCUCUUGAGACUGGCCAGGGGCUUGGCCACCAGGUGAAAGCCACGUCUCCCCAGGGCACCUCAGCACAGUGUGGACAGGAGCCACAUUGCCGCUACUUUCACUUUGUUCAAGUUAACCUUGAGGUUCUUGCCCUGUGAACAAAUCGGACUUCAGAGCACGUGUUCCACCCGCAUUCGCAGCUGCAGCCGGAGUCAGUGGGCGCUGCCAGUGCCCAGCCCCUUGGAGAACCAGCCCCUCAGCACUUAGGUCAGUCCCCAAAUUUGAACCCUAAAUCAAAAGACAUACUUGACAUUUGGACCC